Molecule: non-coding RNA, 69 nt
Organism: Rattus norvegicus (Norway rat)
Lineage: Eukaryota; Metazoa; Chordata; Mammalia; Rodentia; Muridae
Source: Rfam
GGGGAUUUGGCUCAGUGGUAGAGCGCUUGCCUAGGAAGCGCAAGGUCCUGGGUUCAAUCCCCAGCCCUG